CAUAUGCUUGUCUAAAAGACUAAGCCAUGCAAGUCUAAGUAUAAACACCUUUAUACUGUGAAACUGCAGAUGGCUCAUUAUAUCAGUUAUAGUUUAUUUGAUGGUGACUUACUACAUGGAUAACCGUAGUAAUUCUAGAGCUAAUACAUGCGUAAAAUCCCGACUUGGCGGAAGGGAUGUAUUUAUUAGAUUCAAAACCUUCCCGUGCUCUGUCCGGUAUUGUGGUGAAUUAUAAUAACUUAUCGAAUCGUAUGGCCUUGCGCCGACGAUGAUUCAUUCAAAUUUCUGCCCUAUCAACUUUCGAUGGUAGGAUAGUGGCCUACCAUGGUGAUAACGGGUAACGGAGGAUUAGGGUUCGACCCCGGAGAGGGAGCCUGAGAAACGGCUACCACUUCCAAGGAAGGCAGCAGGCGCGCAAAUUACCCAACUGACACAGGGAGGUAGUGACAAUAAAUACCAAUAUAGGUCUUUUUUAAAGUCCUGUAAUUGGAAUGAGAACAAUUUAAAUCCCUUAUCGAAAGCCAUUGGAGGGCAAGUCUGGUGCCAGCAGCCGCGGUAAUUCCAGCUCCAAUAGCGUAUGCUAAAGUUGCUGCAGUUAAAAAGCUCGUAGUUGGAUUUCUGGUAGGAUGCGCCUGGCCCGCGGCGUUGAGCUGAGUGCCGGUGCGCAUCUGCCAUCCUUCUAGAAAACGUCUCUACUCUUUACUGAGCCGGAUUCGCGAUCUAGAUCUUUUACUUUGAAAAAAUUAGAGUGUUCAAAGCAGGCUCGCGCUAUGAAUACAUUAGCAUGGAAUAAUAAUUUAGGACUUUGUUUCUAUUUUGUUGGUUUCUAGAGAUAAAGUAAUGAUUGAUAGGGAUAGUUGGGGGUGCUAGUAUUCAACGGCCAGAGGUGAAAUUCUCGGAUUCGUUGAAGACUAACUUAUGCGAAAGCAUUCACCAAGGAUGUCUUCUUUAAUCAAGAACGAAAGUUGGGGGAUCGAAGACGAUCAGAUACCGUCGUAGUCUCAACCAUAAACUAUACCGACUAGGGAUUAGGGAAAGUUGUUUUAUCGACUUCCUUAGCACCUUAUGAGAAAUCAAAGUCUUUGGGUUCCGGGGGGAGUAUGGUCGCAAGGCUGAAACUUAAAGGAAUUGACGGAAGGGCACCACAAGGAGUGGAGCCUGCGGCUUAAUUCGACUCAACACGGGAAAACUUACCAGGUCCAGACACAGCGAGGAUUGACAGAUUGAAGAUCUUUCUUGAUUCUAUGGGUGGUGGUGC
Molecule: ribosomal RNA, 1258 nt
Filed under: uncultured eukaryote
Lineage: Eukaryota
Description: partial small subunit ribosomal RNA
Rfam family: Eukaryotic small subunit ribosomal RNA
Source: RNAcentral